GACGAACGCUGGCGGCGUGCUUAACACAUGCAAGUCGAACGGUGACGAGGAGCUUGCUCCUCCGAUCAGUGGCGAACGGGUGAGUAACACGUGAGCAACCUGCCCCAGACUCUGGGAUAACAGUUGGAAACAGCUGCUAAUACCGGAUACGAGACGGAGAGGCAUCUCUACCGUCUGGAAAGUUUUUCGGUCUGGGAUGGACUCGCGGCCUAUCAGCUAGUUGGUGAGGUAAUGGCUCACCAAGGCGACGACGGGUAGCCGGCCUGAGAGGGCGACCGGCCACACUGGGACUGAGACACGGCCCAGACUCCUACGGGAGGCAGCAGUGGGGAAUAUUGCACAAUGGGCGAAAGCCUGAUGCAGCGACGCCGCGUGAGGGAUGACGGCCUUCGGGUUGUAAACCUCUUUCAGCAGGGAAGAAGCGCAAGUGACGGUACCUGCAGAAGAAGCACCGGCUAACUACGUG
Molecule: ribosomal RNA, 466 nt
Filed under: uncultured bacterium
Lineage: Bacteria
Description: bacterial SSU rRNA
Rfam family: Bacterial small subunit ribosomal RNA
Source: RNAcentral